This is a non-coding RNA of Pelobates cultripes (western spadefoot toad), 109 nucleotides long. The record is from the annotation of a GenBank genome assembly. NCBI's taxonomy places the organism in Eukaryota, Metazoa, Chordata, Amphibia, Anura, Pelobatidae.
GCCUAUGGCCAUACCAGUCUGAAAGUGUCAGAUCGCUGAAGUAAUGCAGACUUGGGCCUGAUUAGUACUUGUAUGGGAGACCAAGUAUGAACCUCAGGUCCCAUAAGUU